Molecule: transfer RNA, 69 nt
Filed under: Rattus norvegicus (Norway rat)
Lineage: Eukaryota; Metazoa; Chordata; Mammalia; Rodentia; Muridae
Rfam family: tRNA
About the family: Transfer RNA (tRNA) molecules are approximately 80 nucleotides in length. Their secondary structure includes four short double-helical elements and three loops (D, anti-codon, and T loops).
Source: Rfam by way of RNAcentral
GGGGAUUUAGCUCAGUGGUAGAGCGCUUGCCUAGGAAGCGCAAGGCCCUGGGUUCAAUUCCCAGCUCCG